CUACGGGUCUGCAGUGAGGAAUAUUGCACAAUGGGGGGAACCCUGAUGCAGCAACGCCGCGUGGAGGAUGACGCAUUUCGGUGUGUAAACUCCUUUUAUAUGUCAAGAAAAUGACGGUAGCAUAUGAAUAAGCACCGGCUAACUCCGUGCCAGCAGCCGCGGUAAUACGGAGGGUGCAAGCGUUACUCGGAAUCACUGGGCGUAAAGGACGCGUAGGCGGGUUGGAAAGUCAGGUGUGAAAUCCUACAGCUUAACUGUAGAACUGCACUUGAAACUUCUAAUCUAGAGUAUGGGAGGGGGAGAUGGAAUUAGUGGUGUAGGGGUAAAAUCCGUAGAUAUCACUAGGAAUACCUAAAGCGAAGGCGAUCUCCUGGAACAUUACUGACGCUAAGGCGUGAAAGCGUGGGGAGCAAACAGGAUUAGAUACCCGCGUAGUC
RNAcentral lists this ribosomal RNA (437 nucleotides) under uncultured bacterium. Its description in RNAcentral is "partial 16S ribosomal RNA". It matches the Rfam family "Bacterial small subunit ribosomal RNA", at positions 339 to 795 of the family's 1533-position model. The record is from RNAcentral.